UACGUAGGGUGCAAGCGUUGUCCGGAAUUAUUGGGCGUAAAGAGCUCGUAGGCGGUCUGUCGCGUCUGCUGUGAAAUCUCAGGGCUUAACCCUGAGCUUGCAGUGGGUACGGGCAGACUAGAGUGCGGUAGGGGAGACUGGAAUUCCUGGUGUAGCGGUGAAAUGCGCAGAUAUCAGGAGGAACACCGGUGGCGAAGGCGGGUCUCUGGGCCGAUACUGACGCUGAGGAGCGAAAGCGUGGGGAGCAAACAGG
Molecule: ribosomal RNA, 253 nt
Filed under: uncultured bacterium
Lineage: Bacteria
Description: partial 16S ribosomal RNA
Rfam family: Bacterial small subunit ribosomal RNA
Source: RNAcentral